GGCUCGUUGGUCUAGGGGUAUGAUUCUCGCUUAGGGUGCGAGAGAGGUCCGGGUUCAAAUCCCGGAUGAGCCC
RNAcentral lists this transfer RNA (73 nucleotides) under Ameiurus melas (black bullhead). It matches the Rfam family "tRNA". From Rfam's summary of the family: Transfer RNA (tRNA) molecules are approximately 80 nucleotides in length. The record is from Rfam by way of RNAcentral. Lineage: Eukaryota; Metazoa; Chordata; Actinopteri; Siluriformes; Ictaluridae.